This is a long non-coding RNA of Mus musculus (house mouse), 1279 nucleotides long. RefSeq annotates it as predicted gene, 41433. The record is from RefSeq and is a predicted model, not a curated record. The transcript has 3 exons. NCBI's taxonomy places the organism in Eukaryota, Metazoa, Chordata, Mammalia, Rodentia, Muridae.
CCAGGACUGUGUUGAAAGUGGAAGCUUACCGCUUGGUCCAGGAGUCCAUUUUCAUCCGAAUCAUAGAGACGAAACAUGACUGCAAGAAACACGCAGGAAAGAUGGCAGUGAGUCCUGGCAAUAACACAGUGAACGAAAAAAUCAUUUACCACACUGCUCUAAAUGCUUAACUUGCAGACCCAAUUCUGGAUGGGCUUCCACCAUAUCCAAACCCUUUCUUAGUGGGGAACUUUGGAAGACUUGCGUGAGCACAGUGUCCUCAGUGGAUGUAUGUUGUUGGCAUGAGCCAGCCAUGUCAAAAGACCAAUGUCUCGCACCCAUGGAAGUGGCAAAGCCUUCCCCAGCUUUGUUACUUUCAUGUCUACCAGAAAUCUCUUCUACCCAGUAAGAUGUACGACACACAGGAAGCAACUGACCGUGGGAUAAAGACAGUACUGCCCAUGGGGCAAACCAACGUAGGUCCCAUGAGGUCAACAGGCAGUAAGUGCUGAUGACACAGACAAAGGUGGAGGAAGCCUCCCUCUGCAGCACUGCCUGCCGGGGAAGUCAGUAUUACCACACACUCUUCAGAGAACCAAAGAGCCACAUGCUGGAAGGGAGCCCUGGUCUCAAGACAACAGAGCUGAGAAAGAAGAAGGCCUACCGGUCCUGUAGGCUGUAAGAAAGGAGUCAGCUAUUAUUCAUAACAACAGUGGAGGAGAUGAGAGGUCUCUAACCUAAAGAGGGCCCAGGAAGAGACCAAGAUGGAGCCUACAAAAUACAGAAAGGAAGCUUCACCCGCAAGUCCCAGAGGACCAGGUGUUUGCAGGUCAUUUUCUCCCUUUCUCCCUUCCUUUUUCUUUCUUUCUUUCUUUCUUUCUUUCUUUCUUUCUUUCUUUCUUUCUUUCUUUCUUUCUUUCUUUCUUUCUUUCCUUCCUUCCUUCCUUCCUUCCUUCCUUCUUUCUUUCUUUCUUUCUUUCUUUCUUUCUUUCUUUCUUUCUCUCAGUAAAUUGUUUAUUCUUCUUUUGGGAAAUACCACUCAAGUCCUAGUUAUCAGUACAUUAUCAUACCUCUCUAAUACUGGCUGAUUUCUUUUUACAUAAUUUCAAUUUAUCUGAAUUUGUUAACAUUUAAAAACAUAUUUGAAGUAAAUAGAUUUUCAUCACAUUCUUCUUUCCCUUUUGUACCCCAACUCCUCCCAGAGACCCCCCUUCAAUACCUGCCACACCUUUUGUUUUUUAUCAUAUUCUUUAAAAUUUAUAAAAUAUUAUAGCAAUAAAAAUGAGUAUUUUAAAAGUUG